Molecule: long non-coding RNA, 1474 nt
Organism: Lucilia cuprina (Australian sheep blowfly)
Lineage: Eukaryota; Metazoa; Arthropoda; Insecta; Diptera; Calliphoridae
Exons: 3
Source: RefSeq, a predicted model, not a curated record
UCAGUUUGUAUAUAAAUGUUAUUAAUUUUUUAAGGCAAUCAAACCAUGUCUGACUUGUUUGAGAAGCUGAAAAUUUCCUCUAUUAAUGGCGUUUGGUAUUGAAAAUGUAUAAUAUCGGUUUACGAAUCCAUCAAGACCUCAUACAUAUUACAUCCGGAAUAUUGCUUAAGUAGUGUACGAAAGCUUUCACAAAAUCACCUGAUGAAUGCUAAUAAACCCUUCGGUGUAACGAGGACUAUGAAAGUAGAAUCUUAUUAAGCUCCGCAACUUUUUUGGAAGAUUUCAAUGAGUAAACCGUUAAUGGUAUCUUCAUAUUGUUUGUCAGCAAUUUACGUUUUCUAAAUUACCAACACUUCUGAUCGUCAACAUAAGAAAACCUUCCGUAGUAUAAGUUUGAGAUCUGUGUGAUGAUACUAUGCUGGAGUUUAAGGACACAAUUGUGUGAAAUCUAAGAAGAGCAGUGAACCUAGAAUCAUAUACACAUUAAGGGAGUAAUGUUAUUCUACAUCUACAUUCCUAAGGAGGAUGUCUCCUUCAGUUAUUAGUAUCGGAGUUAGUAUACAGUGGCUUUGAACCACAUUCAUAGAGACACCAUCAAUACCGCAGUUUUAAGUUACCGCAUGAAUGUCGUUCAUGGAGGUAGAGGCCAACCGCACAUAGCAGAAAUAAAAAAGAUCCUGCCGCUGAGCAACAGCCUUAACGCCCACUGGUCCCGCAUAUACUGCACCGUCACUUUUUUAUGCCCAGCAUGUGGUCAGUGUCUCUAUGACACCCACCUCAUAUUCAAAUGUAAUGAUCACCCCACUUCACUUAGCCCAAUGGAUUUAUGAAUUAAUCCUACUGAAGUAUCUUAAUUUCUUGGCUUGGACCUAAACUCAGGACUCCCGGAUUAAAAAUUGUAUAGUUUAAGUUGUUACAACUGCAACUAACUAACAUCCCUUAGUAACACUGUUUGGAAAUUUUAAGGAAACUGCACCAGGAAAGUUUUUAAAAAUACGUAUUUUAAAGACAGUGUUAAAAAAAUAUUUUCCUACUAGAAGAAGUUUUAAAACCUCUAGGGGCAAAUGUCGUCGUCUGAGAAUUUGCCGCCUUUUUAGGGAAAAAGAAAACAAGUGGAAUUUGAUUUGACAUAAAUGCUCUAAACUCAAUAAAACGCUGAAAAAGAGAGAAAUAAAUAAAACACAAAAUAUUUCAAUUUCAUAUACACACAGCAUUUUUUGUUUUAUUAUUACUAAUGGUAUUAAACAAUUUUUGGGCAGAUAGAUAUAUUGGAAAUAAAUUUGAUUAAAAUUAAUAUUUAUACAAUUCUUGUUGUUAAAUUAAUUAUAAAUACAAUUUGUUUAUAGGUUGCGGAGGCAAAAACAAUUGUAGUAGUAUUAGUUCUUGCACACGUAGGAAUAAAGUAAAAUAGAAAAAAAAAAUAUGUAGUACAAAGAAAAAAAAAUAAAAAUAAUAUUUUACCAAAAAGUAAUUC